This 263-nucleotide unclassified non-coding RNA is filed under the name plant metagenome. RNAcentral's name for it is "partial contains small subunit ribosomal RNA, internal transcribed spacer 1, and 5.8S ribosomal RNA". The record is from RNAcentral.
UUUCCAUAGGUGAACCUGCGGAAGGAUCAUUAUUGUAUAACCGAGGUGCGAGGGCUGUCGCUGACCCGAAAGGUCGUGCACGCCCGAGUGCCCUCACACACAUCCAUCUCACCCCUAUGUGCACCACCGCGUGGGUCCCCCUUUGGCUUGUUCGGAGGGGGGCUUACGUUUUCACACAAACUCUGUAUGCAGUGUAGAAUGUAUUUUUUGUUUUUGCGAUCACGCAAUCAAUACAACUUUCAACAACGGAUCUCUUGGCUCUC